RNAcentral lists this ribosomal RNA (449 nucleotides) under uncultured marine eukaryote. RNAcentral describes it as "bacterial SSU rRNA". It matches the Rfam family "Eukaryotic small subunit ribosomal RNA", at positions 626 to 952 of the family's 1831-position model. The record is from RNAcentral.
AAGCUCGUAGUUGGAUUCAGAGGUGGGGUUGUGGGUCGGGUGUGGCCCGGCAGCCUUGUCUCCGUGUGCCGCUCCCAAUCAACCCGCGUUUGCCCCAGCCUCCUAUCGCACGGAAACGGAGUCCUGCUGGGGUCUCCUUAACUGGGGGUUCCAGCGCUUCCGCGCACAACGUGCGCUUACGGACCGUCCGUGGACGUUACUGUGAACAAAACAGCGUGUUCAAAGCAAGUGGCUUGCCUGCCCUGCAUGUUAAAGCAUGGAAUAACAAGGCAUCGACCACUCGGCGGUGCUUUUGUUGGUCUUUCCCUCCCGGUGGGAAUGCGCAGGCGUGCACACUGCCGGCCUUCUGGCCGUUCUGGGUGCCGUCUCUUCGAGAUCAAUAGGGGCAAACGGGGAGAUACCUAUKGUGGGGAGAGCGGUGAAAUGCGAUGACCCCCAUAGGAGGAACU